AUUCUCCUACCCUCAGCUCCCCCUCCUCGCGCGCUCGGCCACGCCAGGGCCGCUCCCCCCUGUUCCCCUCAAGCUUCAGCCGAGCCCCUUCUUCCCAUAGAGCAACCAUGGCAGCCCCUGCGUGAUGGCUGGAGGUGGAGGUAGGAGAAGACCCCCUUGAGACUAUGACAGGUGGGCCCAAUGCGAGAUUUGAGUACACAAGUUGCAGAUUUUUGUGUUGUGUUCAAAAAUUCAUAUCUCGAGUUUUACAGCUCCUAAAAUCGUGAAACUUGUUUUGUUGGCUUCCUUAUGAAAUGCUCUAACUAUUGGAUCUAUAUGUUGGCAUGUUUUAGUGGAAAAGUUUUUCUGUAGAAAUUCGUAUUUAAAAACUGGUUUAGAGAAUAAACAAACUUGCUUCUCUCCAUAAUUUUAAUUAUAAAAAUCCAAAAAUGAUGAAACCUGUUUUGUUAGUUAGAUGUUGUCAUACCUCAUCUAGGAAAAAUAUAAAACUUACAUGUUGUUCACUGUUUUCUUGGUGUGUUAAUUAAAACAUGUUAAAUAGGAAAAAGAUGAUUGUUUUAAUUGUUAUUUUUGGAUCUGUAGCUCUGGUGCUCCAAAUAGGUUGAAAUUUUUACAGUAGACUCUUGGUGUGAUGUUUGGUGACUGGUAAUAAUUUCAUGAAUUCUUGUGCAUGUAUGAUUAAGUUAGUGAUUUAACUUGUUUAAUGCACCUUAAGUAGUUUUAAAUAAUUUAAAAAUGAUGAAUAGAUGCAAAAAUGUAAAAUGGUGUUCCACUGUCCUUGCAUGAUAUUAUAGUAGCCUAAGAAAACUCAAUAUGGUAAUGCAUCUACAGAAAAUAAUUAGUUUUAGAUUUAACUUGCUCUCACAUGCUUUAUUGCAUUGACAAUUUAUUAUUUUUGUAGUAAAUAAAAUAUAAAACCUGGGUAUGUGAAAUUUAUACCUUAGUCAUAAAUUGUUAUUACCUAUGCCUCAUAAAAAUGUCAGCCCCAAAUUAGAUAAUUUCAUAUGGUGCUAAAAUAACACUCAUUUUAUAAUUAUAAGAAGAGUUAGUGAAAAUUUGAAGUAAACAAAAGCUUGCAUGUCUCUUGGAAUGUUGAAUUAUACCUUAGUACCAAUUAGAGAUUAAAUGGUUAUGCGCAUGAUGAGUUUAGUAAGAAUCCAUCGGUGUCACUGGUGUUAAGUUGAGGUUUAUUUGCGCGUGUAAAGUAAUAAUGUGAUUAAUACUUAGAACUCUUAGUCGAUACUAGGAAUUGUUUUGGCUUAUAUAGAGAGGUGGUGACAUGCUGAAGUAGUCAUCGCUUCCUCUAUGUUUAUAAGUCGAGUCGAGUCGAUGCGCAUUAUGUGUUUGUUAAAUUAUGCUUCACAUAUAGUGUAUGAUUGUGCUCACGAUUUCGAGUAGACGCUUCAAGUAAAUCAAGUAGAUUUGUGAUACAAGUGUGUAAUGGAGUUAGUUGUUUUAGGAUAAUUAUUGAAAUACUCGGUUCGUAGGAUAAACAUGUAUGCGUUCAUGAUUUGGGAAGUAAAUGCGUGGUGACUGCGAUUUGAAGAUUUGUGAUUUACGAUUCAUAUGAGUUGGUCGGUGUGCGAAUAUACUUGUGAAUCUGCGUGUUUAUAAAAAUGUUGUAGUAUAUGUUGCGUCUCGGAUUGCGGCAAUAAUAGUCAAGUUGACGUGUAUGUUAUUUAGCGGCGAUGUCGUUGCUCUAGUUAACCGAAUUGUUAGAUGACGUGGUUAAGCCCGUAAUCACGGUGAAUUGCUUGUUGUAGUCUAAAUAUGUAUGUUUAUGGUCGCGGGUAAAAAGUAGUAGUGCUCAUAUGAUGUCGAAUUUAAAACGCAAAUUGUUGAGUGAUUGUCGUGGAGAAUGCGUUGUUAAUUGGUUGUAGUAAUUUUAGUGCACUAAUGAUUUGAAUAAAAUUUGCAAGUCGAAUUGUUGGUUCUAAUCUGAUUGUCUUAACUCGAACAAAUAGUAAAGCGUUAGAGUAAUUCAAGUCUCUCGAACGCGGCGAUUCUUGAAUUAUAUAGAAGCUGAAAUUUAGUAAUUGCUGUUUUGGACUGCACGCAGUGAUUUGCUAGUGCUGUAUGUUUGAUGAACAAAAUUGUAUUUUAUGUAGAUAUGUGCUAUAGAAAAGUGGUAGAUAACUUUAUUAUCUUGCUGGUGUUAAAAUUUGACAGGCAUAAGUCUGCUCGUUUAGGAGUUAUGAUUUUUACAAAUUCAGUAACUGAAUCUGUCCAAAUUCUGUACAGAUUUCAGAAACUGCAUUGUUUGCCUAAUUUAAUAUUACAAUCUGUUCAUGGUCAUUAUAAGAAAGUUGUAGAUGCUUUUCUGAUCUUGCUUGUGUUAAAAUUUCAUAAACACAGGCCUGAUAGUUUAAGAGUUAUGAAUUUUACAAACUGCUUGCUGUGUUCUGUCCUCUGUCAGAACAGAUUUCGAAAACUGUAAUGUUUGAUUUGAUUAAAACUGGAAUCACUUCUUGGUGAUUAUAAAGGUUAUGUAGUGCUUUUUCUAAGCUUUCCAAAAAGUCCCGGUUCACUAUUUUUGGUGAUUUGAAGAUUAAGUUAUGGAUGUUUAAAGUCUGAAGACUGAAUCUGUCCAAUUCUGGACAGCAAAGCCUUCUAGUGUAUUUUAUCCUUGGUUAAAUAUUGAAUCACCUUAAGAUGUUUAUAAAUAAUUUGUAGAACAUUUAAUUAGCUUUCCAGAAAGUCUACAAUCACUUUGUUUGGAUGUCUGAAUCUUUUGUUGUGAAUUUUUGAAGUUGCAAGUCUGCAUCUGUCCAAAUUUGGACAGCGCUGUUGUGUUAACAUCUUUUGACCUUGCUAAGUGUUUAAUCAUGUUGUGAUGACAAUACCAAAGUUGUAGAGAACUUUCUAAACUUUCCAGAAAGUAUUAGUUUGCUAUUUUUGGAUUAAUAUUUGAAAAGUUAUGAUUAAAACAAGUAGCUGCUGUGCUGCUGUCCUAAAAAUCUGCAUGUGCUCUAAUGAAUAUUUAGUUCACCAUUUUGGCUAAAAAUGCUUAGUUAGCACUUAACGAAUAUAGACUUGUGAUGGCUAAACUUAGGUUAACAUGUGCUUCAUGAUUAAUGUGCUUGCUUGCUGUAGUUGAUUGUGAUAGAGGAGUCCAUCGACAUUGAUGCGUCGGUCCUCUAUUAAACUUGUGUUUGUGAUGCUUUUGUGUGAUCAAUAGAACUAAUGCAAAGUCGUAGCAAUUAAAUAAAUGCGUGUACCUGUGAUAUCGUAUUUGUGUUGCGUAAAUAAAAAAAAUAUGGUCGUCUUGUUAAUGGUGUUAAUGAUGAACGCCGAUAACGUACGAAUAGCUAGCGCUUGCGUAUAGUCGUUGCAGUGUCUUACUACUUGGUGUUUAGUUCGCUACCGUGUAUUGUAUAUCUUGUGAUAACUUUUCAUUAUAUUUAUACAUAUGCAUCUUGCACCUCAUAUAUGACCGAGAGAUGAUGAUCGGGCUAGUGAUGUGGUGCCAACCACAAGAUGCAGUCGGUGGACGACCCAAGGAAGGAUGGACUUAACCAGUGGAUGCUCGCCAAGCGAGUACCUCCCCAGCAAACACUCUCUAAGUGUUAAAUUAAAGGCAAGCCCCGGUUUUAUGCAUAACCGUUAUAUAUGCUAUUUUACUGUACUUAAUGUUUGUAGGCUUGUACUGUGCACUUAAGUGUAGGAGUUGACUGAAACCCUAGUUGCAUGAACUCAGGAUUCCCUUUGAGAUGGAUACUAGUAUGCUAAGUCGAGUAGCUGCUUUAUUAAUUAGGGAAUUCGAUAGAAGUCGAGUGAUUUUUCUAGCACUCGCGCGAGGUCAGGAAAUUGGUUGUAUCCACUUUCUUCUCAUAAUGAUGCUGGUAGUGGACAACAAUCCAUGGGGAUUGGUUGUCCACGGGGUAAAAACUUGAAUAAGGAUUAAGGUGUGGUACCGUGAGUCAAGCGUUUGAACGUACUAAACACAUACCGAGAAAUAUGGUAAAUCGGUAAGCCUAGUACCUGAGUGAACCUGCCCGCAGAUUGCCCUCCUCACGCGACCUGAGACGAGGUCUCCCAUUCCGGUUAUGGUGGGUACAAGUGCGGUCACUGCACGACGGCCAGUCGGGGUCAGUGAGGCAUUGUACGCCAAGGCGGUGAGCCCCUUUCUGUUGCCAGGGAAUCGAUGGGGACGGUUGAUGUGUGUGGGGACGGGGUGCCCCUACAUGUCGUGUGUUUAGGUUUACCUUGCAAGGUUUAAAAAUUCGAUUCGAAUCGUCUGCUUCUCGCAGCUAAUGAGACUGCUUGAUCCAUGCUGCUACAUUGAGUAACAAGUGGAAAUGUGUUGACUUGGCGAAAGAUGUUGAUUGAUAAAAUGUUUGAUACCAUGUAUGAUUAGCUAGGUACACAUCUAGUCUAAAGGAUUCUACUAAAACUUGAAAAGCUAAAAUUUGUUUUUAGACUCAGCUAGUGCUUUUGGCAACCAAACCCCUCAGCCAAACAGCUGCAUGUCUAGAGGUAGAGGAGUAGACUCCUCACACCGGGUAAGUCUAGCUGAGUAUUAGUAUACUCAGCCUUGCUUGUGGCACAAUUUUUGCAGGUACUUCUUGAUUUGGUUGAUGGUGUGACUUGGCCUUCAUCCCUGCCACCGGGAUAGAUGGUCGAGUGGGUUACUACUUCCGCAGGAGAGGACCAGGAGGAGUAGUGUGGCCAGGCUUCGCCAUGUUACUCGGUUCUUCUCCGUUAGUUAUUUCCGCUGCAUUAAAAUUUAUGGUUAUUAUUUUUGAAACUCCGAUAAUGUAAUCACUAAUGGUACUUCUUAAAUUUGUG
This 4788-nucleotide long non-coding RNA is filed under the name Zea mays. RNAcentral describes it as "long non-coding RNA (ZMAY_LNC000270)". Lineage: Eukaryota; Viridiplantae; Streptophyta; Magnoliopsida; Poales; Poaceae. The record is from RNAcentral.